This 246-nucleotide ribosomal RNA is filed under the name uncultured bacterium. Its description in RNAcentral is "partial small subunit ribosomal RNA". It matches the Rfam family "Bacterial small subunit ribosomal RNA", at positions 26 to 285 of the family's 1533-position model. The record is from RNAcentral.
AGAAUCAACGCUGGCGGCGUGCCUAACACAUGCAAGUCGCACGAGAAAGGGGAGCAAUCCCUGAGUAAAGUGGCGCACGGGUGAGUAACACGUGAAUGAUCUACCUCCGAGUGGGGAAUAAACUGAGAGAAAUCUUAGCUAAUACCGCAUAAUACCCACGGGUCAAAGCAGCAAUGCGCUUGGAGAGGAGUUCGCGGCCGAUUAGUUAGUUGGCGGGGUAAUGGCCCACCAAGACGAUGAUCUGUA